Molecule: ribosomal RNA, 394 nt
Filed under: uncultured Gammaproteobacteria bacterium
Lineage: Bacteria; Pseudomonadati; Pseudomonadota; Gammaproteobacteria
Description: bacterial SSU rRNA
Rfam family: Bacterial small subunit ribosomal RNA
Source: RNAcentral
AAUGCACGAAAGUGUGAUGGAGCGACGCCGCGUGCAGGAAGACGCCUUUCGGGGUGUAAACUGCUUUUAUUAGGGAAGAAUUAGUGACGGUACCUAAUGAAUAAGAGGUUGCUAACUACGUGCCAGCAGCAGCGGUAAUACGUAGACCUCAAGCGUUAUCCGGUUUUAUUGGGCGUAAAGCGUCCGCAGGUGGUCAAGUAAGUUAAUUGUCAAAUCCCAAGGCUUAACUUUGGGACUGCAAUUAAAACUGCUCGACUAGAGGUUGUGAGAGGCAAGCGGAACUAUCGGUGUAGUCGUAAUAAGCGCUGAUAUCGAUAGGAACACCAAAGGCGAAGGCAGCUUGCUGGAACAAACCUGACACUCAUGGACGAAAGCGUGGGUAGCGAAAGGGAUU